GAUAUGGGUUUUUCUUGCUCAACCUCAACAAAUUCAAGUUUAAGAAUAUUUUUUAUUUUUUUCAGGUGUUGGUUCAACAGUUUUGCCUGACUUGAAAUCAAUGAUACUUACAUAUGGAACUUUCGGAUUCACUACUAUUUGGGCGGGUAGUUGGAUCGAUCCUUGAGACUGCAUGUGAUCAAUUGAAGUUGUCAGUUGCUUAAUUUCGGUCUCUAAAUUCUGAAAGGUUGUUAUUGUGCAAAGGAAUUUCCAUAUCGCAUGUUUGGAUGGUUACUUCAACUGGGGUGGUACCUGUUGAUGGUCAAAUCAGGGUUAUUGUACAUGUCAUAGUUGUUGGGUUGAGGGUUGUAUACAUUUGAUGCAUAUGCUAGAGAAAAGUCAACAUUAAGUGAAUCCUGCAAGGUAGGACAUGAAUUUGUUGGAUGCUCGAGAGGAGUGCCUGCUGCUAAGUAAUUUACCAAUGAAGUAAGAUCAUCAAGUCUGAUCUCUAAAUUUUGUUCGAAGUGGAAAAAGCUUGAAUCUCAUUCAGUCUUCCUUUCAAUAACGCUGAGUUGUUUAUGGUUGUGAACUACUGAAAAUUAAGUGACAUAUUCUUAAUUGGGAUAAAUAUGUCAUGGAUCCCCAAAAACAUCCCAACUUUUAAUUUUAUUCCUCCUAAAAAAAUUUUGUCCACAAUAUUCUUCCCUCCCGUCAAAACCCCCUAAUGGAAGUUGAUGCGGAGUCAAACAUGGGGGGUUUGACACGUGGAAGUGACCUUGAAUUAUAUUAUUUAUAUUUGUUUUACGUUGACACGUGGCAAUGACGUUGGAUUAUAUUUCCUUCAUGUAUUUUUUAUCUCAAACGAUUUUUGAUUUGUACUAUGAUGAAAUAUGUUUGACUAUAGUUGUAGGGUGAUGACACUUAAAAUUUAUUUAAGUGGGAUGAUGACAUCAAACAAGGAAAAUAUGUUGUUCAAGUUGUAAA
Vicia villosa (hairy vetch) is the source of this 963-nucleotide long non-coding RNA. RefSeq lists it as uncharacterized. The transcript has 2 exons. Lineage: Eukaryota; Viridiplantae; Streptophyta; Magnoliopsida; Fabales; Fabaceae. The record is from RefSeq and is a predicted model, not a curated record.